GACGAACGCUGGCGGCGUGCUUAACACAUGCAAGUCGAACGGAAAGGCCCUGUUGGGGGGACGCGAGCGGCGGACGGACGGGUAACAAGUGAGUAACCUGCCUGUGCCUUAGUGAGAGAUUCCUUAAACUAGGGCUAAUACCUACUAGGAAUGAGUGCUGCAUGCAUGGUGUUGGAAGGAUACGUCGGGUGGGUUUGGACGGGCGGCUGGUUUACCAGCUUGUUGGGGGGGUAGUUGCCUAGCAAGGCAUUGACGGGGAGCCGGCCAGAGGGGGCGACCGGGCACAUUGGGACUUAGAAAAGGCCCAGACGCCGACGGGAGGCAGCCGUGGGGAAUAUUGGCCAAUGGGGGGGAGCCUUAUGCAGCAACGCCGGGUGCGGGAUGACGGGCUUCGGGUUGUAAACCGCUUUCAGCAGGGGAGAAGCUUGUAGUGACGGUACCUGCAGAAGAAGCACCGGCUAACUACGUG
RNAcentral lists this ribosomal RNA (469 nucleotides) under uncultured bacterium. Its description in RNAcentral is "partial 16S ribosomal RNA". It matches the Rfam family "Bacterial small subunit ribosomal RNA", at positions 28 to 507 of the family's 1533-position model. The record is from RNAcentral.